AAUCCUACGGGGGGCAGCAGUGAGGAAUAUUGGUCAAUGGACGCAAGUCUGAACCAGCCAUGCCGCGUGCAGGAAGACGGCUCUAUGAGUUGUAAACUGCUUUUGUACGAGGGUAAAUCCCGAUACGUGUAUCGGGUUGAAAGUAUCGUACGAAUAAGGAUCGGCUAACUCCGUGCCAGCAGCCGCGGUAAUACGGAGGAUGCGAGCGUUAUCCGGAUUUAUUGGGUUUAAAGGGUGCGUAGGCGGAAUGCCAAGUCAGCGGUAAAAUCGCGGGGCUCAACCUCGCUCCGCCGUUGAAACUGGCG
This 305-nucleotide ribosomal RNA is filed under the name uncultured bacterium. Its description in RNAcentral is "bacterial SSU rRNA". It matches the Rfam family "Bacterial small subunit ribosomal RNA", at positions 335 to 638 of the family's 1533-position model. The record is from RNAcentral.